Molecule: ribosomal RNA, 660 nt
Filed under: Marinovum sp.
Lineage: Bacteria; Pseudomonadati; Pseudomonadota; Alphaproteobacteria; Rhodobacterales; Roseobacteraceae
Description: bacterial SSU rRNA
Rfam family: Bacterial small subunit ribosomal RNA
Source: RNAcentral
GCAAUGGGGCAGACUACACAUGCAGUCGAGCGAGCUCUUCGGAGCUAGCGGCGGACGGGUUAGUAACGCGUGGGAACGUGCCCUUCACUGCGGAAUAGCCACUGGAAACGGUGAGUAAUACCGCAUACGCCCUUCGGGGGAAAGAUUUAUCGGUGAAGGAUCGGCCCGCGUUAGAUUAGAUAGUUGGUGGGGUAACGGCCUACCAAGUCUACGAUCUAUAGCUGGUUUUAGAGGAUGAUCAGCAACACUGGGACUGAGACACGGCCCAGACUCCUACGGGAGGCAGCAGUGGGGAAUCUUGGACAAUGGGCGCAAGCCUGAUCCAGCCAUGCCGCGUGAGUGAUGAAGGCCUUAGGGUCGUAAAGCUCUUUCGCCAGAGAUGAUAAUGACAGUAUCUGGUAAAGAAACCCCGGCUAACUCCGUGCCAGCAGCCGCGGUAAUACGGAGGGGGUUAGCGUUGUUCGGAAUUACUGGGCGUAAAGCGCACGUAGGCGGAUCAGAAAGUUGGGGGUGAAAUCCCGGGGCUCAACCCCGGAACUGCCUCCAAAACUCCUGGUCUUGAGUUCGAGAGAGGUGAGUGGAAUUCCGAGUGUAGAGGUGAAAUUCGUAGAUAUUCGGAGGAACACCAGUGGCGAAGGCGGCUCACUGGCUCGAUACUGA